GCAGUGCCACGGCCUGCCGCUGGUGCUAACCACCUCUGAACGGAGAGGGUAGAGCACGAGAGGAAAGUCCGGGCAGCGAAGGACGCUCCACUGGUGAAAGUGCCAGCUAUCGGCGACGAUAGGAUAUGGGAGAAGAGAACGACCGCCCCCUGCUCUGGCCUCGGUCAGAGGACGGCUCACAGCCGAGGGGGUAAGGGUGAGAAGGCGGUGUAAGAGACCACCAGUCGGCGGGCGACCGUCGGGCUGUUCCAUCUGGAGGCUGCAAGUUCGCGUAAACCAUCGGUUGAGGGCGGUCCGUCCGAAACCCCUCUGCGGGUUACGAUGGAGGGUGGAAUGCUUGAGCUGGCAGGCAACUGGCAGCGUAGAUAAAUGGCAGGCACCUCUCUGCAAAGGGAGGUACAGAACCCGGCUUAUAGGGGCAGUGCUUUC
Molecule: RNase P RNA, 429 nt
Filed under: Prevotella sp.
Lineage: Bacteria; Pseudomonadati; Bacteroidota; Bacteroidia; Bacteroidales; Prevotellaceae
Description: RNase P RNA component class A
Rfam family: Bacterial RNase P class A
About the family: Ribonuclease P (RNase P) is a ubiquitous endoribonuclease, found in archaea, bacteria and eukarya as well as chloroplasts and mitochondria. Its best characterised activity is the generation of mature 5'-ends of tRNAs by cleaving the 5'-leader elements of precursor-tRNAs. Cellular RNase Ps are ribonucleoproteins.
Source: RNAcentral